AUUGAACGCUGGCGGCGUGCCUAACACUUGCAAGUCGAGCGAAGAACUUCGGUUCUUAGCGGCGGACGGGUGAGUAACACGUGGGUAACCUGCCUCAAAGAGGGGGAUAGCCUCCCGAAAGGGAGAUUAAUACCGCAUAAUAUCAGGAUCUCGCAUGAGAACUUGAUUAAAGGAGCAAUCCGCUUUGAGAUGGACCCGCGGCGCAUUAGCUAGUUGGUGAGGUAACGGCUCACCAAGGCGACGAUGCGUAGCCGACCUGAGAGGGUGAUCGGCCACAUUGGAACUGAGACACGGUCCAGACUCCUACGGGAGGCAGCAGUGGGGAAUAUUGCACAAUGGGCGAAAGCCUGAUGCAGCAACGCCGCGUGAGUGAUGAAGGCCUUCGGGUUGUAAAACUCUGUCUUCUGGGACGAUAAUGACGGUACCAGAGGAGGAAGCCACGGCUAACUACGUGCCAGCAGCCGCCGUAA
Molecule: ribosomal RNA, 470 nt
Filed under: uncultured bacterium
Lineage: Bacteria
Description: partial 16S ribosomal RNA
Rfam family: Bacterial small subunit ribosomal RNA
Source: RNAcentral